UGGGCACGGUUCCUUUAAAUAAGAAACAUUUUUCUGUUCAAGUGAGUCACCUCGGUUUUCCAGCUUUCAAAAUCAAGUUUAUUUUCUAGUUCUUUCUGUUCAGGAAUUUUCUUUCUCUCUUCCUGAAGACCAGAGUUUGCCCUUCUACUGGAAGGCAAUGGUUUCACAGGUUCUCUUUCUUUUAUCUCAAGAUUUUUUUAAGCCCUGCUGAAUUUGGUAGCAAAUUCUGAACAUAGAGAGGAGAGAACCAGGAAGUGAGUCUUCCAGGGGCAGGCAUAAAAGCCUGGUGGAGGCAUCGAAAGUAAAAGUAAACUUCUUCCUGGAGGCGUUUCCAACCCCACUUCUUGUCUCCCCCUCCCGCUUGUCUCAUUUCCAGGGAUUUUUCUCCAGCUUGGUUGUAAGAACCAGCCUCAGCAAUCCGACGUGUGAAGUUAGGCAGUGUGGGGUCUUGUCGUUGGGAGUUUGGUGGCUGGGAUGUUGCCAGGACUGUGUGGAGCAGGUUCCAGUCCAUGGUGAGGGCCCUGGGAUUUUAUUUUUCCUUUGGUGAGUUUGGCUGGGCCUUUUGGGAGGAAACACUAUGAUUCUAGAGUUUUCUAGACCUAGACUGCUGAGGGUGAGAUCUGGUGGUCUUGGGGUCAUGGAGGUGAUCUUGUACGCGAAUGUAGAUGGGGGAAACCAUGAGAGUUUCUGUGGGGGUCAGUAGACCCUCUGAACCAUACUGAGGGCCCCAUAGUUUCCAGAACUCAAGAUCACUCAGGAGUGCUCAGUGAGUAUUAUUGAAGGAAAUCACUGACGUCUUAAUAAUGAACCCAUAAAAAUCUGUACAUUUCUGA
Molecule: long non-coding RNA, 833 nt
Filed under: Bos mutus (wild yak)
Lineage: Eukaryota; Metazoa; Chordata; Mammalia; Artiodactyla; Bovidae
Description: lncRNA (ENSBMUG00000016897.1)
Source: RNAcentral